This is an RNA transcript of Capsicum annuum, 2060 nucleotides long. RefSeq lists it as uncharacterized. NCBI's taxonomy places the organism in Eukaryota, Viridiplantae, Streptophyta, Magnoliopsida, Solanales, Solanaceae. The record is from RefSeq and is a predicted model, not a curated record. The transcript has 6 exons.
GAUAAUUCCUGGAAUUAUCUGAAUACACUUCUAAAGCUUUCCAAAACAUUUAAACCCAAAAUAAAGGACUUUCCAAAUAUUUCUAAAGAUUUCCAACAUAUUUUGCAGCUAGUACUCAUAGAUCUUUCAUGAAUUGUUGAGAGAUUUGAUAUUGAUAGAUAGAUGUUGAAUCCUAUUUAUGUAUUUUUAUUAUUAGAACCGUUUUUUUUAAUAUUUGUGUGUAAUUAUAAUUAGGUGGGAACUACUCAACUUCCUAAAUUUUCUCGAUUUAUCUGAGGCACGAUGAGUCUACAACACUACUUCGAUCCUUUACUAGCACCAAAGGGAAUUACAGAAAGAGGGAAAAAUAAGAGAAACCGCUUUUUGGUGCUUAUUUCUUUUUAGAUUUUUGGCUCCAAAAGAAUUUCAGGAAAACCACCAUAUAUAUGAGAAAACAAGCGAAGGAGUUUCGUUGCAAAGAAAAGCCAAAAUUUCUGAACUUGAGAAGAAGACCAGGAAAGGUCGUGGCAAGACUAGAGGGAAAGGUCUUGAAAAAAUGAAGAAGGCUACGGGAAGCAAGAUGAAAAUAGAAAUCCCAAUUGGUAAAGGAAGACCAACUAAGCCAAUUCAAUCAGCCAAACUAUCCAAUGAAUUAGGGAUAAUUGCUCAAAAUUUUCUUCCACUUCCAAACAAGUGGAAGGAACUUACAAUAGAGGACAAAGAUGUAGCACUAAUUAGAUGCCACGUAAGGAUUCUGUACUCUUUUAAAAUUUAUAUAUUACAUGAUAAGCAAAAAAUCUAUGAUUUUAAGAACAUUGGAGUUUUAAGGUACUAAGCAUGUUAGCAGAUAUUAUGAUUUUAUUUUUAAAUUAAAAGGGAUUUCGGUUGUUUUGUGUGUUUCUUUAAUACUUAUUUGUUUUUUACGAGAGGUUUGACAUUAAUUUGGAUGAGCAUUAUGUGAACGAUAGUUGUAAGGAUAUUCUGAAAAAUAGAAGCCGACAAUAGCGCUACAAGUUAAAAAAAAAAUUUGAAAGUGCAUGCUCCGUGGAAGAGGCUCGUAAAAUGGAAAUCGAACAGUUGACCUCAGAAAAUUGGAAUAAGCUUUGCGACAUGUGGAACGAUCCAGAGCACAAGGUAAUUUAUAUUUAUGUUAUUCUCAUUGAUAUUUAAGUUAAGAUGUUUAUAUUUUCUUUGUAGAAACGAUGCAAAAUAAACAAGGGCAAUCGAACAAAGCUUAAAUCUAAUCAUUUCAUGGGAUCAAAAGAAUUUGUAGCAGCUCGUCCUGAAAUUUGUGAAAAGGAAUCUGAAGGUAUAGAGCCUGACAGAAUUGAGUUCUAUAAGCAUACCCAUUACACGAGUGAAAAAAGAUGGUCAUCUGAAGAAGCUGAGACUAACUAUAACAACAUGAACGAUUUGAAAGCUCUAUAUACUUCUGGAGAGUUUUCCAUGAUUAUUGAUGAAAUUGUAGAUGCUGUACUUAGUACUAAGUUGGGGGUACAUAAAAGGUCUUAGUUAUAGUACUAAACCUAAUACUAUAAGGGCAACACAAAGGAAAAUGACAGAGUUAGAAGACUACCACAAAAAGGCAAAACUGGAAGCUACUAGUGCUCAAGAUGAGUUACAGAAAUGAUUAAAUGCAGCUGAGACUGUGGUAGAAAGCCAGAAAUCACAGAUACAAGACCAGCAUUAAUAUAUCAAAGCACUAAAUUUUCAGUUGAAUACUGUAGUGGCACGCCAAGAGGAAAUUCUUAAGAAAAUGCAACUUCUUGUUAGCCCAUCGUCGUCAAGGUUAGAGGUGGAUGAGCUAAUUGGAGAAAGCCAAAGAGAAGAGGAUUAGGAGGUCCUCAGAUCAAGGUGUAGAAGUGAGAGUUCAAUGAAGACUAAUUGCAAGCUUUAUUGGUACUUUGGAAGAAACCUCUAUGUAUCUGCCUUAGUUUAGAAUAGGAGUAAUAUUUAUUACUAUAUUUCAGUUAGAUUUUUUUUGUGUUGGACUUGUUUUACUUUUCUUUGCUUUGUGAGGAAAUAUUACCUCAGUACAGUUUUAGUUUUUUAAUUGUAUGAUUGUGGGUGAAUUUUAUCAA